This 253-nucleotide ribosomal RNA is filed under the name uncultured bacterium. Its description in RNAcentral is "partial 16S ribosomal RNA". It matches the Rfam family "Bacterial small subunit ribosomal RNA", at positions 524 to 776 of the family's 1533-position model. The record is from RNAcentral.
UACGUAGGGCGCAAGCGUUAUCCGGAAUUAUUGGGCGUAAAGAGCUCGUAGGCGGUUUGUCGCGUCUGCCGUGAAAGUCCGGGGCUCAACUCCGGAUCUGCGGUGGGUACGGGCAGACUAGAGUGCGGUAGGGGAGACUGGAAUUCCUGGUGUAGCGGUGAAAUGCGCAGAUAUCAGGAGGAACACCGGUGGCGAAGGCGGGUCUCUGGGCCGUAACUGACGCUGAGGCGCGAAAGCUAGGGGAGCAAACGGG